ACAAGAUCAACCGCGUCUCUUUCUAUUGGACUAAUGGGUGAAUGAGACCUAUGGUGUCGAUUGCAUUUGUUAUGAGUAAACUGAUUCAGAGCUUCCAUUCUCUUGGCUUUGCAACACGAUCCACAGAAAGAAUGCAGACAUGCCUUUUCAUUUAUUUAAAGUAAUACGCGAUAAUAUAUUUAUUGCCCAUGUUUUCUGUACUCUAAGCCUAGUUAAGAGUAUAUCAUUCGAUUAGAUUAUGACUCUUUGGAUAUUGUUUUGAUUAGUUUUUAAAAAA
This 277-nucleotide unclassified non-coding RNA is filed under the name Hevea brasiliensis (rubber tree). Lineage: Eukaryota; Viridiplantae; Streptophyta; Magnoliopsida; Malpighiales; Euphorbiaceae. The record is from RNAcentral.